This 466-nucleotide ribosomal RNA is filed under the name Neogloboquadrina pachyderma. Its description in RNAcentral is "bacterial SSU rRNA". It matches the Rfam family "Eukaryotic small subunit ribosomal RNA", at positions 1192 to 1438 of the family's 1831-position model. The record is from RNAcentral. Lineage: Eukaryota; Foraminifera; Rotaliida; Globorotaliidae.
AAUUUGACUCAACGCGGGAAAUCUUACCGGGUCCGGACACACUGAGGAUUGACAGGCAAUAUCUCAUGGUUAUUAACCGGUUAUUUAUUUAAGCGGUUUAUUAAGCAUCGAGUGUUAAAUAUGCUAGUCCUUUCAUGAUUAUGUGAUAGGUGGUGCAUGGCCGUUCUUAGUUCGUGGAGUGAUCUGUCUGCUUAAUUGCGUUUCACUAAGGGCCCAUAAAUUCAAGGUAUGUUUGCUAUCGUCGCUCUAUGGACCCCUUAUUCAAGCUAUUAGUUUGUUUAAGCGCGCGUCUUUAUUUAAUGAGUUUAAGACACUGCGCAUGCUGUUGGGCUCUGAAAGCAACGAACGUGACCGCAACGUCUUGGUUGCCUUAAUAAAGUUGGCUUUAAAUACGAAAUUCGUAUUUAAACCGCUUACAGAGGCUAUUUAAAACUAGACGGACCGCUGUUUCUUUUCUUAAACCAGA